This 1272-nucleotide long non-coding RNA is filed under the name Ursus maritimus (polar bear). RNAcentral describes it as "lncRNA (ENSUMAG00000007043.1)". Lineage: Eukaryota; Metazoa; Chordata; Mammalia; Carnivora; Ursidae. The record is from RNAcentral.
AGAAAGGUGACCAAACCCUCCAAGAUGGAAACUCACCUCCCUCAACUGACCAGCCUGGGAGUGGCCAGCCGUGGAGGAGCCCACGGGACAUAGAGCCGAGGAGCACAGGAGCCUGGCUGGGCCUUGUUCCUGGGACAGGACCACAGCGCAGAUCACAGCCCUGCCUGAACACAGACAGGAGUAACCCAGGGAACAUAGUACUCAGGAGACCACGGAAAAGGCAAGGGAUCCAGAGAGGAAGGCUCAGACCCCGGAAGAGUUGGCCAAGUCCCUGACAUUUCUUCUAGCCCCUCAGUUGACCUGGACCAGGUCAUUAUCAGUCCUGCACCAUCAUCAUCACAACCGCCAUAGUCACUGUCAGCAGCAGCAGCUUCUUCAUCACCAUCGCUGCUGUCACCAGCAUCACCAUCACGGCCACCAUCACCACCACCAUCACCACCAUCACCACCAUCACCAUCGUCACCAGCAUCACCAGCAUCACCACCAUCAACGUCAUCACCACCAUCACCAUCAUCACCACCAUCACCACCAUCACCACCAUCAUCACCCACCAUCACCAGCAUCAGCAUCACCAGCGUCACCAGCAUCAUCAGGAUCACCAGCAUCACCAGCAUCAGCAUCACCACCAUCACCAGCAUCACCACCAUCAACGGCAUCACCAGCGUCACCACCAUCACCACCAUCACCACCAUCAUCACCACCAUCACCAUCAUCACCACCACCAUCAUCACCAUCAGCAUCACCAGCAUCACCACCAUCAUCACCACCAUCACCAGCAUCACCACCAUCAACGUCAUCACCAUCAUCACCACCAUCACCACCAUCACCACCAUCACCAGCAUCAUCACCACCAUCACCACCAUCACCAGCAUCACCACCACCACCAGUCAUGCUCUAAGCAUACUCUCUCUCCCACCUCUAUGCAUAUGCUGUCUCUCUUUCCAGAACUCUCUGAACACCUUCACCUGAAGAAGAUCUACUCAACCACUAGGUCUAAGCUGGGAAAGCUCCUCAUGGAACUUCCCCCUGAGAACCUCCACCCCCUGCCCAGAGCCCCUUUCCCCAUCACAGCACCGAGUGCGCUAGAUUCAAGCCGCUUGUUGGCGUGUCUGUCCAUGCAACUAGGAGGUAAGACCUUUGAAGGUCACCUUGCCCACCCUCGUGUUCCCCAGCUCAUGGUCCAUGUGCAAAUGAACACACAUCCAUGACGGUGCAUUAAGCACCCCGGUCUGCACUCCUGCUCGGGCUGGCAGCGUACCCACAGGAUUUCUG